GAGUUUGAUCCUGGCUCAGAGUGAACGCUGGCGGCAGGCCUAACACAUGCAAGUCGAGCGGCAGCGCGGGGGUGCUUGCACCCCUGGCGGCGAGCGGCGGACGGGUGAGGAAUGCAUCGGAAUCUGCCUUCUCGUGGGGGAUAACCUGGGGAAACCCAGGCUAAUACCGCAUGCGCCCUUCGGGGGAAAGCCGGGGACCUUCGGGCCUGGCGCGGGAAGAUGAGCCGAUGCCGGAUUAGCUUGUUGGCGGGGUAAAGGCCCACCAAGGCGACGAUCCGUAGCUGGUCUGAGAGGAUGAUCAGCCACACCGGGACUGAGACACGGCCCGGACUCCUACGGGAGGCAGCAGUGGGGAAUAUUGGACAAUGGGCGCAAGCCUGAUCCAGCCAUGCCGCGUGAGUGAAGAAGGCCUUCGGGUUGUAAAGCUCUUUUGUACGGGAAGAAACCCGGCCGGCGAAUACCCGGCCGGACUGACGGUACCGUAAGAAUAAGCACCGGCUAACUUCGUGCCAGCAGCCGCGGUAAUACGAAGG
RNAcentral lists this ribosomal RNA (533 nucleotides) under uncultured bacterium. RNAcentral describes it as "bacterial SSU rRNA". It matches the Rfam family "Bacterial small subunit ribosomal RNA", at positions 9 to 531 of the family's 1533-position model. The record is from RNAcentral.